Molecule: non-coding RNA, 948 nt
Organism: Lolium perenne
Lineage: Eukaryota; Viridiplantae; Streptophyta; Magnoliopsida; Poales; Poaceae
Source: RefSeq, a predicted model, not a curated record
AAGAAAUAGGCGGGGCAGGUGAGCCUCCUCCAACCUCUCUUGCGCUGCUCCACUUUCACAGCCCGUCUCCCCCAUUAGAGAACACAUCAUGCUAGGCUUUGGGUGGUGGUAGAUUCAAACACCGAUGGCUACAACUGCAAGAAGCUGCGACUCUGUUUUUGCACCAGAGGUCUUGGUGAACUCAUUGGAGGUGUCGUUCGAGUUCUACAUGAUCUUCUCCACAUUGAUGUGCUAGCCAUCCAGAAGGAGAGGAUGUCGACGCUGUGAAGUGGUAGGCGAGAAUACCGCACGUGUUCUGCAAGAUGCUCAUCUUCUUCGACGUCCUCGACACAGGUGCACGAUUCCUCUUCUCCGGCAGCGACACGUCAAUAGCGAUGCCAUUGACUUCCGCCUUCAUGACUUCUUCACUGCCACUUUAGCCAGCCAGGCCGGCCGGCGUUUAUGAGGAAGAGCUGCUAAAGGCUGAUUGACUAGGGCAAGGUGGCGCGACGGUGAUCAUCCAGAGCAUCUACCAGAGUUAUCUCGGCAUGUUAUUUAUCUUCUCCAUAUAUCUCAGCCAUCAGUUUAACCAAACCCACUCUGGGGUUAUUUUUUGGAUGAAAACCCAUUUGCUACUCCUGCUUUAAUUUAGGCCAAACUGCAACAAAUGUGUUUCUUGAUCAUGCAUGCUCAUGGCGUUGUGGAUUAUUUCCUUUCUUUGCACAAGGGAUUAGUUCAGUUUGUCACUUAUCAAGUUCUCGCAUUAUCACUGUGCCCCGGAGGUUGUUUUUGUAACAAUGGAGUAGAGAACAUCAGUUUUAUAUUUGCCCACUGGAUGUGUUCUUGCUGAGUCGUUUCUUGGGAAGAUUUUCUUAUAUUUGUUACCCUUUCCGUAUUUGUUUUUUUGCACGUUCUUGAUAUAUACAUACUUCGACAAUAUGUAAUCCAAAGGAAUCCUUUUAAGUUUCA